CUUGGUGUCACCCAGUGUCACCCAAUGUCCCUUUGCUGUCACCUGGUGUCACCCAAUGUCCCUUUGGUGUCACCCGAUGUCACCCAGUGUCACCCAAUGUCCCCUUGGUGUCACCCGAUGUCACCCAUUGUCACCCAAUGUCCCCUUGGUGUCACCCAGUGUCACCCAAUGUCCCUUUGGUGUCACCCGAUGUCACCCAUUGUCACCCAAUAUUCCCUUGGUGUCACCCAGUGUCACCCAAUGUCCCUUCGGUGUCACCUGGUGUCACCCAUUGUCACCCAGUGUCACCCAAUGUCCCUUCGGUGUCACCUGGUGUCACCCAGUGUCACCCAAUGUCCCCUUGGUGUCACCUGGUGUCACCCAGUGUCCCUUUGGUGUCACCCGGUGUCACCCGUUGUCACCCAAUAUCAUCCAAUGUCCCCUUGGUGUCACCCGAUGUCACCCAAUGUCCCCAGUGUCACCCGUUGUCACCCAAUGUCACCCAAUAUUCCCUUGGUGUUACCCAGUGUCACCCAAUGUCCCUUCGGUGUCACCUGGUGUCACCCAGUGUCACCCAAUGUCCCUUUGGUGUCACCCGCUGUCACCCAAUGUCCCUUUGCUUUCACCCGGUGUCACCUGUUGUCACCCAAUGUCAUCCAAUGUCCCCUUGGUGUCACCCAAUGUCACCCAAUGUCCCCUUGGUGUCACCCAGUGUCACCCAAUGUCCCUUUGCUGUCCCCUUGGUGUCCCCUUGGUGUCACCCAAUGUCCCUUUGGUGUCACCCAGUGUCACCCAGUGUCACCCAAUGUCCCCUUGGUGUCACCUGGUGUCACCCAGUUGUCACCCAGUGUCACCCAUUGUCCCCUUAGCGUCACCUGUUGUCACUCGUUGUCACCCAGUGUCCCUUCAGUGUCCCUUGUUGUCCCCCGUUGUCACCCAUUGUCCCCUCUUGUCCCCCGUUGUCCUCCCCAUUGUCACCCAAUGUCCCCCAGUGUCACCCACUGUCACCCAUUGUCCCCUUUGUUGUCACCCACUGUCCCUUCAUUGUCACCCAAUGUACCUCAGCGUCACCCCAUGACACCCAAUGUCCCUCUGUGUCACCCACUGUCACCCAUUGUCCCUUCAGUGUCACCCAUUGUCCCUUCAUUGUCACCCGUUGUCCCCCCGUUGUCACCCACUGUCACCCAGCGUCCCCUCAGUGUCACCCGUUGUCCCUUCAUUGUCACCUGUUGUCACCCAUUGUCACCCAUUGUCACCCCACUGUCACCCAUGGGUGUCCCCUGGGUUGGGAUUUUGGGGUUCCUUGGAGCUCUCUGUCCCCUCUUUGUCACCCGUUGUGUCCCCAAAUGUCCCCAAACGGCCCCAAAUGCCCCCAGAGUGGCCCCAAAUGGCCCCAUAAUGUCCCCAAUGUCCCCAUUGACCCUAUAAUGUCCCCAUUGACCCCAUAGCGUCCCCAAUGUCCCUAUUGACCCCAUAAUAUUCCCGUUGACCCCAUUGACCCCAUGAUCUGUCCGCUGACCCCAUCAUGUCCCCACUGACCCCAUCAUGUCCCCAUUGACCCCAUAACGUCCCUGCUGACCCCAUAAUAUCCCCAAUAUCCCAUUUGACCCUAUAAGGUCCCCGCUGACCCUAUAAUGUCCCCAUUGAUCCCAUAAUGUCGCCAAUAUCCCAUUUGACCCUAUAAAGUCCCCAUUGACCCUACUGACCCCAUAAUGUCCCCACUGACCCCGUAACGACCCCACUGACCCCAUAAUGUCCCCACUGACCCCAUUGACCCCAUAAUGUCCCGAUAAUGUCCCCAUUGACCCCAUAAAGUCCCCACUGACCCCAUAAUGACCCCAUUGACCCUAUAAAGUCCCCAUAAUGUCCCUAUUGACCCCAUAAAGUUCUCACUGACCCCAUAAUGUCCCCAAUAUCCCAUUUGUCCCUAUGAAGUCCCCAUUGACCCCAUAACGUUCCCAUUGAUCCUAUAAAGUCCCCGCUGACCCCAUAAUGUCCCCAUUGACCCCAUUGACCCCAUAAUAUCCCCAUAAAGUCCCCGCUAACCCUAUAACAUCCCCAUUGACCCCAUAAGGUCCUCAUUGAUCCCAUCAGGUCCCCACUGACCCCAUAAGGUCCUCAUAAUGUCCCCGCUGACCCCAUUGAUCCCAUAAUGUCCUCGCUGACCCCAUAAUGUCCUCGCUGACCCCAUAAUGACCCCAUUGACCCUAUAAUGUUCCCGUAACGUCCCCAUUGACCCCGUAAUGUCCACAUUGACCCCAUAAUGUCCCCACUGACCCCAUAAUGUCCCUCCUGACCCUAUAAGGUCCUCAUUGACCUCACAAUGUCCUCAUAAUGUCCCGGCUGACCCCAUAAAGCCCCCACUGACCCCAUAUAUCCCCAUUGACCCCAUAAUGUCCCCAUAAAGUCCCCUCUGACCCCAUAAUGU
Long non-coding RNA from Phasianus colchicus (ring-necked pheasant), 2407 nucleotides. The record is from Ensembl. Lineage: Eukaryota; Metazoa; Chordata; Aves; Galliformes; Phasianidae.